UACAGAGGGUGCGAGCGUUAAUCGGAAUUACUGGGCGUAAAGCGCACGUAGGCGGCUUCGUAAGUCGGAUGUGAAAUCCCCGGGCUCAACCUGGGAACUGCAUUCGAGACUGCGAUGCUUGAGUAUGGGAGAGGACAGCGGAAUUCCGGGUGUAGCGGUGAAAUGCGUAGAUAUCCGGAGGAACAUCAGUGGCGAAGGCGGCUGUCUGGCCCAAUACUGACGCUCAGGUGCGAAAGCGUGGGGAGCAAACAGGAUUAGAUACCCUGGUAGUCCACGCCCUAAACGAUGAGGACUAGAUGUCGGAAGGGUCUGCCUUUCGGUGUCGCAGCUAACGCGUUAAGUCCUCCGCCUGGGGAGUACGGCCGCAAGGUUG
This 373-nucleotide ribosomal RNA is filed under the name uncultured prokaryote. Its description in RNAcentral is "bacterial SSU rRNA". It matches the Rfam family "Bacterial small subunit ribosomal RNA", at positions 524 to 896 of the family's 1533-position model. The record is from RNAcentral.